AUUGAACGCUGGCGGCAGGCCUAACACAUGCAAGUCGAGCGGAUGAAGGGAGCUUGCUCCUGGAUUCAGCGGCGGACGGGUGAGUAAUGCCUAGGAAUCUGCCUGGUAGUGGGGGAUAACGUCCGGAAACGGGCGCUAAUACCGCAUACGUCCUGAGGGAGAAAGUGGGGGAUCUUCGGACCUCACGCUAUCAGAUGAGCCUAGGUCGGAUUAGCUAGUUGGUGGGGUAAAGGCCUACCAAGGCGACGAUCCGUAACUGGUCUGAGAGGAUGAUCAGUCACACUGGAACUGAGACAGGGCCCAGACUCCUACGGGAGGCAGCGGUGGGGAAUUGUGGACAUGGGGCGAAGGCUUGAUCCAGCCAUGCGGGGUGUGUGAAGGGGGUCUUGGGAUUGAAAAGAAUUUUAAGUUGGGAGGAAGGGCAGUAAGUUAAUACCUUGUUGUUUGGACGUUACCAAAAAAAUAAGCCCCGGCUAACUUCGUG
Molecule: ribosomal RNA, 484 nt
Filed under: uncultured bacterium
Lineage: Bacteria
Description: partial 16S ribosomal RNA
Rfam family: Bacterial small subunit ribosomal RNA
Source: RNAcentral